AUUGAACGCUGGCGGCAGGCCUAACACAUGCAAGUCGAGCGCGCGGCGGCCGGGUGUGUAAUGUAUGGGGCUCUGCCCGAUAGAGGGGUAUAAACACUGGAAACGGUGGCUAAUACCGCAUACUAUGGUAUGAACCCAUCUGGGAUUAGCUAGUAGGUGGGGUAAAGGCUCACCUACGCCACGAUCUCUCGAUGGUCUGAGAGGAUGAUCAGCCACACUGGAACUGAGACACGGUCAAGACUCCUACGGGAGGCAGCAGUGGGGAAUAUUGCACAAUGGGCGCAAGCCUGAUGCAGCCAUGCCGCGUGUAUGAAGAAGGCCUUCGGGUUGUAAAGUACUUUCAGCGGGGAGGCGUUACCCGCAGAAGAAGCACCGGCUAACUCCGUGCCAGCAGCCGCGGUAAUAC
RNAcentral lists this ribosomal RNA (406 nucleotides) under uncultured bacterium. RNAcentral's name for it is "partial 16S ribosomal RNA". It matches the Rfam family "Bacterial small subunit ribosomal RNA", at positions 30 to 526 of the family's 1533-position model. The record is from RNAcentral.